This is a non-coding RNA of Cyphomyrmex costatus, 73 nucleotides long. The record is from Rfam. NCBI's taxonomy places the organism in Eukaryota, Metazoa, Arthropoda, Insecta, Hymenoptera, Formicidae.
ACAACAGUAGUCUAAUUGGUUAGGACACUUGCACGUAAAGCAAGGUAUUCGAGUUCGACUCCCGGCUAAGGUA